UACGGAGGAUGCGAGCGUUAUCCGGAUUUAUUGGGUUUAAAGGGUGCGUAGGCGGAUCGUUAAGUCAGUGGUCAAAUUGAGGGGCUCAACCCCUUCCCGCCAUUGAAACUGGCGAUCUUGGGUGGAAGAGAAGUAUGCGGAAUGCGUGGUGUAGCGGUGAAAUGCAUAGAUAUCACGCAGAACCCCGAUUGCGAAGGCAGCAUGCCGGCUUCCUACUGACGCUGAAGCACGAAAGCGUGGGGAUCGAACAGG
This 252-nucleotide ribosomal RNA is filed under the name uncultured bacterium. RNAcentral describes it as "partial 16S ribosomal RNA". It matches the Rfam family "Bacterial small subunit ribosomal RNA", at positions 524 to 776 of the family's 1533-position model. The record is from RNAcentral.